AUCAUUUAUCAUUGUUUUAGUAAGUGAGACUGAAUUAAACGGGUUAUUCGGCGAUAGUGAAAUGGUAGCGUGAGUGAAAGAUUAUAAUCAAUGGAAUAGCAAUGAUGAGUUCGUGUACCUUUUGCAUCAUGGGUCUACUACUUUUUAUUCCAAGGAAGUAGCCCGAAAGUACGAUGAGCUAUCCUUUUGCUAUGGGUUGGUGUGGGAUUAUCAUCCAGAGAUGGGGGGAUAGAAUGGCGAAAUACCUUUCGCAUCUGCUGAUAGCUGGUUAUUUCGGAAAUAUAUCUAAGUAUAGCCCUUUUUGGGGCGGGUUCUACAGUUCUAGUUCGCUCUGCUCUUGCAAGACUCUGCUCUCUUUUAGGAGACGGUGCCUCCAGGCUAAGCUGGGGGCAUACCUGUUAAAGAUAACUGGCGAAGCUUUGUGGCUUGGAAGUAGGUUUAAAGGAAUCAUCUUUACGGAGUGGGUUAUACCUCACAGGGGCCCUUGUUUUAAAUUAUAAUAAGUUUUUCUUUUAGUUGUACGGAAUCUUCUCACGAAACUACGGUAGUGGGAGUGAUAAUGUAGAUAUGAGUAGUCGCGGUAGGUGUAAGUGUUUUGAGUCUGCAGGGAAAAAAACACAAAAAUAAUUUUUACAAUGUUGGUAAACAAACCUUAAGGAACUCGGCAAAUUUGGGGACCGCCUGUUUAUCAAAAACAUGGCUUUCUGAGAAACAUGGGGGGUCGUGCCUUCCCAGUGGGUAUACGAGCCUAAACGGACGCGGUAAAUCGUGCUAAGGUAGCUAAAUUAUGGCCUAUUAAUUGUAGGUCCUGUGAAUGGUUUGACGAGUCCCCUACUGUCUCGAGGUUGUUUUGGUGAAAUUGAAUUGAACGUGCAAAUGCUUUCAUGGGGAAGAAAGACGAGAAGACCCCGUGAAGUUAGGAAUGCCUGCCAUAACGUGAAAUCCCUAUAACAGAUGUUAUUAGCAAUAUAAAUAUGCAAGGCUUGGGGUUCUUGUGUAGAAUUGUCGUUGGGAAGAAUGGUCAGUGCGUUUUGGCUGGGGCAGCAAAGAGGCAAAACUAGCCCUCUUUAUUCGAAAAACGGAUGCGUUACGACCCACAGGAAUGUAUGUUGUGACUAGCAGAAUGAGUUACUCCGGGGAUAACAGCGUAGUCCGCCUCGAUAGUUCGUAUAGACGGGCGGGUUCGCGACCUCGAUGUUGGCUCUGGGUAUCCUGAGGCUUGCAGGGGGUCUCAAGGGUUGGUUCGUUCGCCCAUUAAAACCCGACGUGAGCUGAGUUCAGAUCGGUGAAAGUUAGGUCGGUUUCUAUCUUCUUUCUUUUAAUUUUAGGCCGUAGGGUACGAAAGGACAUUCGGGUUUAGGAUGGUUUUCUGCUGUUAUGAAGGUAAAAUAAUAUAAAAAUAAGUAGGUAUGAUCAAGDYUU
This 1422-nucleotide ribosomal RNA is filed under the name Mimachlamys varia. Its description in RNAcentral is "large subunit ribosomal RNA". Lineage: Eukaryota; Metazoa; Mollusca; Bivalvia; Pectinida; Pectinidae. The record is from RNAcentral.